This 253-nucleotide ribosomal RNA is filed under the name uncultured bacterium. Its description in RNAcentral is "partial 16S ribosomal RNA". It matches the Rfam family "Bacterial small subunit ribosomal RNA", at positions 524 to 776 of the family's 1533-position model. The record is from RNAcentral.
UACGAAGGGUGCAAGCGUUACUCGGAAUUACUGGGCGUAAAGCGUGCGUAGGUGGUUUGUUAAGUCUGAUGUGAAAGCCCUGGGCUCAACCUGGGAAUUGCAUUGGAUACUGGCAGGCUAGAGUGCGGUAGAGGGUAGUGGAAUUCCCGGUGUAGCAGUGAAAUGCGUAGAGAUCGGGAGGAACACCAGUGGCGAAGGCGACUACCUGGACCAGCACUGACACUGAGGCACGAAAGCGUGGGGAGCAAACGGG